AUACGAAAGGUGCAAGCGUUGUUCGGAUUUACUGGGCGUAAAGAGAGUGUAGGUUGUUUAUUAAGUCGGUUGUGAAAUCCCGGGGCUCAACCUCGGAACUGCAUUCGAUACUGGUAGACUAGAGUUCGGGAGGGGUAAGCGGAAUUCCGUGUGUAGCAGUGAAAUGCGUAGAUAUACGGAGGAACACCUGAGGCGAAGGCGGCUUACUGGACCGAUUCUGACACUGAGACUCGAAAGCGUGGGUAGCAAACAGGAUUAGAAACCCCAGUAGUCC
RNAcentral lists this ribosomal RNA (274 nucleotides) under uncultured bacterium. RNAcentral's name for it is "partial 16S ribosomal RNA". It matches the Rfam family "Bacterial small subunit ribosomal RNA", at positions 523 to 796 of the family's 1533-position model. The record is from RNAcentral.